This 253-nucleotide ribosomal RNA is filed under the name uncultured bacterium. RNAcentral's name for it is "partial 16S ribosomal RNA". It matches the Rfam family "Bacterial small subunit ribosomal RNA", at positions 524 to 776 of the family's 1533-position model. The record is from RNAcentral.
UACGUAGGGUGCGAGCGUUAAUCGGAAUUACUGGGCGUAAAGCGUGCGCAGGCGGUUUUGUAAGCCAGAUGUGAAAUCCCCGGGCUCAACCUGGGAACUGCAUCCGAAACUGCCUUGCUCGAGUAUGGGAGAGGGAAGUGGAAUUUCCGGUGUAGCGGUGAAAUGCGUAGAUAUCGGAAGGAACAUCAGUGGCGAAGGCGACUUCCUGGACCAAUACUGACGCUCAGGUGCGAAAGCGUGGGGAGCAAACAGG